GCCACGCUGUGUUUACAAGUAAUCUAGAAUCUAGAACGAUCAGUGAGAAUCUGAAAUUCUAUCCCGUUUUGCUUGGAACUGGUUCUCGCCGACACGCAUCCUCGAGGUUUGGCCGCGUGGAUCAUACUGAAGGCGCGACGACUCGGUAGAGGUAGCGUUGCCUUACGUCCUGGGGUGGGAGAAAGACAGAGAGAGGGACCGGGAUGCGCGCCAAAACUUGUUCGCUCAGCUUCAAUGGAUAUUUCACUCUAAGGUUCGCAAUAUCAUCAUGGAUAAAUGUCUGUAUAUCAGAAUUUAUAUCGCAGGCUUGUUUG
Molecule: long non-coding RNA, 314 nt
Organism: Bombus pascuorum
Lineage: Eukaryota; Metazoa; Arthropoda; Insecta; Hymenoptera; Apidae
Exons: 2
Source: RefSeq, a predicted model, not a curated record